AGACCCGAAACCCGGUGAUCUAGCCAUGGGCAGGUUGAAGGUUGGGUAACACUAACUGGAGGACCGAACCGACUAAUGUUGAAAAAUUAGCGGAUGACCUGUGGCUGGGGGUGAAAGGCCAAUCAAACCGGGAGAUAGCUGGUUCUCCCCGAAAGCUAUUUAGGUAGCGCCUCGUGAAUUCAUCUCCGGGGGUAGAGCACUGUUUCGGCUAGGGGGCCAUCCCGGCUUACCAACCCGAUGCAAACUGCGAAUACCGGAGAAUGUUAUCACGGGAGACACACGGCGGGUGCUAACGUCCGUCGUGAAGAGGGAAACAACCCAGACCGCCAGCUAAGGUCCCAAAGUCAUGGUUAAGUGGGAAACGAUGUGGGAAGGCCCAGACAGCCAGGAUGUUGGCUUAGAAGCAGCCAUCAUUUAAAGAAAGCGUAAUAGCUCACUGGUCGAGUCGGCCUGCGCGGAAGAUGUAACGGGGCUAAACCAUGCACCGAAGCUGCGGCAGCGACGCUUAUGCGUUGUUGGGUAGGGGAGCGUUCUGUAAGCCUGUGAAGGUGUGUCGUGAGGCAUGCUGGAGGUAUCAGAAGUGCGAAUGCUGACAUAAGUAACGAUAAAGCGGGUGAAAAGCCCGCUCGCCGGAAGACCAAGGGUUCCUGUCCAACGUUAAUCGGGGCAGGGUGAGUCGACCCCUAAGGCGA
Molecule: ribosomal RNA, 692 nt
Filed under: Salmonella enterica
Lineage: Bacteria; Pseudomonadati; Pseudomonadota; Gammaproteobacteria; Enterobacterales; Enterobacteriaceae
Description: partial 23S ribosomal RNA
Rfam family: Bacterial large subunit ribosomal RNA
Source: RNAcentral